AGGGGUGAAGCUCAGUGGUAGAGCAUCUGUUUUGCAUACAGGAAGCCCCUGGUUCAUUCCCUGUCACCUCCA
This is a non-coding RNA of Podarcis lilfordi (Lilford's wall lizard), 72 nucleotides long. The record is from the annotation of a GenBank genome assembly. NCBI's taxonomy places the organism in Eukaryota, Metazoa, Chordata, Lepidosauria, Squamata, Lacertidae.